This 499-nucleotide ribosomal RNA is filed under the name uncultured bacterium. RNAcentral describes it as "partial 16S ribosomal RNA". It matches the Rfam family "Bacterial small subunit ribosomal RNA", at positions 28 to 507 of the family's 1533-position model. The record is from RNAcentral.
GACGAACGCUGGCGGCGUGCCUAAUACAUGCAAGUCGAGCGAAGUUUUUCUGGUGCUUGCACUAGAAAAACUUAGCGGCGAACGGGUGAGUAACACGUAAAGAACCUGCCUCAUAGACUGGGACAACUAUUGGAAACGAUAGCUAAUACCGGAUAACAGUAUUUCUCGCAUGAGAGAUAUUUAAAAGUUGGUUAUGCUAACACUAUGAGAUGGCUUUGCGGUGCAUUAGCUAGUUGGUGGGGUAAAGGCCCACCAAGGCGACGAUGCAUAGCCGACCUGAGAGGGUGAUCGGCCACACUGGGACUGAGACACGGCCCAGACUCCUACGGGAGGCAGCAGUAGGGAAUCUUCCGCAAUGGGCGAAAGCCUGACGGAGCAACGCCGCGUGAGUGAAGUAGGAUUUCGGUUCGUAAAGCUCUGUUGUUAGGGAAGAAUGGAUAUGUAGUAACUAUACAUGUAAGAGACGGUACCUAACCAGAAAGCCACGGCUAACUACGUG